AGCGAACGCUGGCGGCAGGCUUAACACAUGCAAGUUGAACGCUUGUAGCAAUACGGGAGUGGCAGACGGGAGAGUAACACGUGGGAACGUGCCCUUCAGUUUGGAACAACCCAGGGAAAAUUGGGGUAAUACCGGAUACGUCCGUAAGGAGAAAGAUUUAUUGCUGAAGGAUUGGCCCGCGUUUGAUUAGCUUGUUGGUGAGGUAACGGCUCACCAAGGCGACGAUCAGUAGGUGGUUUGAGAGGAUGAUCAGCCUCACUGGGAAUGAGACACGGCCCCGACUCCUUCGGGAGGCAGCAGUGGGGAAUUUUGGACAAUGGGGGCAAGCCUGAUCCAGCCCUGCCGCGUGGGUGAUGAAGGCCCUAGGGUUGUAAAGCCCUUUUGGCGGGGAAGAUAAUGACGGUACCCGCAGAAGAAGCCCCGGCUAAAUUUGUG
Molecule: ribosomal RNA, 435 nt
Filed under: uncultured bacterium
Lineage: Bacteria
Description: bacterial SSU rRNA
Rfam family: Bacterial small subunit ribosomal RNA
Source: RNAcentral